This 612-nucleotide unclassified non-coding RNA is filed under the name Tomato bushy stunt virus satellite RNA B10. Its description in RNAcentral is "B10 satellite RNA". The stretch from base 183 to 303 matches the Rfam family "Tombusvirus 5' UTR". The record is from RNAcentral.
NAAAUUCUCUGACUUAAAUGUCACUGCGCAUGAGGAAGCGUGGAGGGUUUCUCUCGAUUUAGUGCUUUCCGCUAAAAUCCUAGGUAACCGCAGUAGUGUUAAGAACGAAACUGAUUUAGCGAUCUAGUAUCGACCUGAACCGAUGGACUACUCAAACGCGGCUAAUUUAGUGGGUAUGCAUAGCAAUUUCCUUUAAUGAAAUGCUAUUGCGCUAGGAAAAAUAUCCUGUUAGCACAUCUCGGGUUUGAAGGCUGGGCGUAUCCGUGAGGAGCGUAAAUGUAACUUCCAGCAAGUAGGGCUUAGCGGCCUGCCUCAAUUCCCAUCAAUCCAAAAACAGGUGGCCUCUUUCAUUAGGAGCUUCCAUCUGUUGGUUGUGACGUGAGCUUUGUAGUUGCUAUAAACGCAACUGUGGUUCUUUUGUGCGGUACGCCCUCGUUUGAAGGAGAGGAGGAUUAAAGGUCGAUUCCUACCAUUGAGCAUGGAAUCCACACUUGAACUCUUUGCAAUCAGCACAUGCGUUCCCAACGUAGUGCUCUCACCACCAGUUACUGGGGGCUUUAGGUGAGAGUGUAAAACAGACAGUGUAAAAGCUGAAAUUGUCUUCGGACAGCC